GGCAGUUCUCAGGUGACGCACCCUGAAUGGGGCUCCCUCUUCUCUAGUUCCGGGUGCAUCACCCGAGAACCGCA
Molecule: microRNA precursor, 74 nt
Organism: Myotis lucifugus (little brown bat)
Lineage: Eukaryota; Metazoa; Chordata; Mammalia; Chiroptera; Vespertilionidae
Rfam family: mir-9223 microRNA precursor family
Source: Rfam